RNAcentral lists this ribosomal RNA (506 nucleotides) under uncultured Acidobacteriaceae bacterium. RNAcentral's name for it is "bacterial SSU rRNA". It matches the Rfam family "Bacterial small subunit ribosomal RNA", at positions 8 to 494 of the family's 1533-position model. Lineage: Bacteria; Pseudomonadati; Acidobacteriota; Terriglobia; Terriglobales; Acidobacteriaceae. The record is from RNAcentral.
AGAGUUUGAUCAUGGCUCAGAACGAACGCUGGCGGCGUGCCUAACACAUGCAAGUCGAACGAGAGUGCGGACUUCGGUCCGUUAGUAAAGUGGCAGACGGGUGAGUAACACGUGGGUAACCUGCCCAAAGGUGGGGGAUAACCCUCCGAAAGGAGGACUAAUACCGCAUGACAUUCACGGGACUUCGGUCCUGUGAAUCAAAGCUAGCCUCUACAUGUAAGCUAGCGCCAUUGGAUGGGCCCGCGGCCCAUUAGUUUGUUGGUGAGGUAACGGCUCACCAAGACUACGAUGGGUAGCCGGCCUGAGAGGGUGAUCGGCCACACUGGAACUGAGACACGGUCCAGACUCCUACGGGAGGCAGCAGUGAGGAAUUUUGCGCAAUGGGGGAAACCCUGACGCAGCGACGCCGCGUGGAGGACGAAGGCCUUCGGGUCGUAAACUCCUGUCAAGCGGGACGAAUGCCACAGGAAUGAAUAAGUCCUGGGGUGACGGUACCGUGAAGAGCC